UAAAAUGAAUACAUUUUCUCAAAUUUGUGUGUUAAAAUAGAAAGAACCAUUCAACAAAUAUUCACACAUUCAACAAAUCACCAUCUUCCAUUUCUACAAUUUGCCUAUCCGACUUAGCAUGUGCCUACCCCGCUUGACCUAUCAUAGCACUAUCACAAUCAACUACGUCAAUGAAUCAAAACAACAAUAUUCACUUUAUCAACUUUCAAUCCCCGUCCCAUUUAACUAAUUUUAAUUGUUAAUGAGAUAUUAUUUCAUCACACAACCCAUAAUCAAUCCAUAAUCAAGGAAAUCAAACACUGAAUCAAAACAACCAAUAAUUCACAUCAUCAAAGAACAACCAAUCAAUUCGAUGUAUCGAAUAUAACAAACAACAAAAUAAAAGAAAGAAGAAAUAGAAUUGGACCUCAAUUCGAAGAUCUUGAAAUUCAAUAAUACUUCAAUAAAAGGACAGAAUCGGCGAUGAAGAACCUCGAUUCGGAGCCUCUAUUCGAACCCCAGCUCCGGUAUGCAUUUUUUUUUAAUUUUCUAUUGACCCAAAACAGAAAUCGCCAAAAAUAGACAAACCCGAACCCGAUUUUGUGCAACUCGACCCUGUUUCACUCUUUUCCAGCAGAAUUCACAAGAAUCGAAGUAGGGUUCACCGUUCCCGAUUCACAGGAGCUCCGAUGAGCUCAAGCGAUGGCAGAGAGACUCGGGUUAGGUUGGAUUUUGAUCGAAUUUUGGGGUGUUUCUCACUGGUCCCAUUAUUUCGGCUAGAACAAUGGAGGACGAGAGUGAGGGUGUGAUUUUUCCAGCCAGCGUCACGUUUUUCGAUUAGUUUUCUUUCUUCGAUGUUUGCGUUCACUCUCUCCCUCGUCUGUUUUUCUCAAUUUCGAUCAGCUCCCUCCCAUUUUUCUACUAAUUCUCUCAUUUUUCCUAUCUCUCUUGGUCCCUCACUGUGUCCUUCCCUUUAGCUGUGUGUAUAUGUGCGUCGAUGGGUAUGGAUGAAAAUGAAGGAUUAUUAGAAUGAAAGAAAUGGAGAAUCUCAGAUCUGUGUUACUGUUAUGUGCGUUAAUUGUGUGUCGUUGUGAUGUAAUUUCUUCGAGGGUGGUGUAUAUGGCGUGAGGUGAAUUUUUUGGUGAAGAAGAUGACCUCUUUUUCUAUUUCUGUCCUCCUCUAUAUAUAGAAAUAGCGUGUAAAAUAAAAGUGGAUAGGGGUUACGUGGGUAGGUAGGGUAGGAGGAUAUUCGGUGGUGAUGUGUUUUUUUUUAAUUGGAAAGGUUGU
RNAcentral lists this long non-coding RNA (1266 nucleotides) under Capsicum annuum. Its description in RNAcentral is "long non-coding RNA (CANN_LNC010985)". The record is from RNAcentral. Lineage: Eukaryota; Viridiplantae; Streptophyta; Magnoliopsida; Solanales; Solanaceae.